Molecule: long non-coding RNA, 252 nt
Organism: Ipomoea nil (Japanese morning glory)
Lineage: Eukaryota; Viridiplantae; Streptophyta; Magnoliopsida; Solanales; Convolvulaceae
Exons: 3
Source: RefSeq, a predicted model, not a curated record
UGUUCAAUUGGAUCAAGAAGCAACAGUUCCAUUGCCAACAACUAUGACAUCAAGAACUUACAUUUGAAAUCUCUGCCUGGUUAUCUCUCACUCUUUAACAAGCAAGGCAAUCAACCCUUCAUGCCAGUGAUGAAGUAGAGAAGCUUUUGCUCUGUUUUAGAGUAGGUCUCAGUAUGGAACAUGUCUUGUUCAAUUGGAUCAGAGAAGCAUUGUCAACAACAAUGGCAUCAAGAAAUCAUUGUUUGAGAUCUC